CCUACGGGGGGCAGCAGUGGGGAAUAUUGGACAAUGGGGGGAACCCUGAUCCAGCCAUGCCGCGUGUGUGAAGAAGGCCCUCGGGUUGUAAAGCACUUUCAGUGAGGAAGAACGCCUGGUGGUUAAUACCCAUCAGGAAAGACAUCACUCACAGAAGAAGCACCGGCUAACUCCGUGCCAGCAGCCGCGGUAAUACGGAGGGUGCGAGCGUUAAUCGGAAUUACUGGGCGUAAAGUGCGCGUAGGUGGCUUGAUAAGCCGGUUGUGAAAGCCCCGGGCUCAACCUGGGAACGGCAUCCGGAACUGUCAAGCUAGAGUGCAGGAGAGGAAGGUAGAAUUCCCGGUGUAGCGGUGAAAUGCGUAGAGAUCGGGAGGAAUACCAGUGGCGAAGGCGGCCUUCUGGACUGACACUGACACUGAGGUGCGAAAGCGUGGGUAGCAAACAGGAUUAGAUACCCCAGUAGUC
This 465-nucleotide ribosomal RNA is filed under the name Vreelandella stevensii. RNAcentral describes it as "partial 16S ribosomal RNA". It matches the Rfam family "Bacterial small subunit ribosomal RNA", at positions 338 to 795 of the family's 1533-position model. The record is from RNAcentral. Lineage: Bacteria; Pseudomonadati; Pseudomonadota; Gammaproteobacteria; Oceanospirillales; Halomonadaceae.